This is a long non-coding RNA of Cygnus atratus (black swan), 1171 nucleotides long. RefSeq lists it as uncharacterized. The transcript is spliced from 3 exons. Lineage: Eukaryota; Metazoa; Chordata; Aves; Anseriformes; Anatidae. The record is from RefSeq and is a predicted model, not a curated record.
CACCCCUCAGCCGGGCUCGGGUCUCCUGUUGCCCCCUCACCGCCUCCCUCCAGCCCUCAAACACGGUCCCAUCCCGGCUUGGCUUAAACCGCAGGGCCCCGGCCUGCGAGGGGCCGUGAGGGGCAGCACGGCGGUGGAGAGAUGCCCACCCCUUAAGGUUCCCCAAUUCCUCUCAGCAGUGCCCGAGUUCAAGGAUAUCGGAGCCCUGCCUGCCUGGGCACCGUGAAGUUGCCAUGGGCCGGUGGGGUUUGUGAAAUGGGGUAAUAUCUGCCCGGGAUCCUGAGGAAGAAGGAUGGCGUGUAACGGGUGGAUGGGUCAGAAGCUUGGCUUGUGACAAGGAAGGAUCCAGUAACAGGCUUCAAGUAGUGGAGAGAAAAACAACAGACAGCCGUUUACUUCCAAGAUCUCGAUGGUUACUGUGGUCACAAGAGACGGGAGCUAGUAUCACAGCUGAGGUUCCUAUGGAAACAGUCCUUUAUGUGAUCACGCUUGGCUGUGUCUCCUUUACUUCUCCAAUAACUUUUGAAACUGUUGGGUAGUUUCCACCAAAUCUAUCUCGAAUAUAAUUAAGUUAUUUCAUGAAAAUAGUCAGCUGGGUAGAGCUGAGAGAUCCUGUAAAUGUCCCAAAGGCUGCAACACAAACUUACCUUUUAUUAAACAGUGAUUCACAUGGAUGAGAGAUUGUAUAAAUGUCUCAGUAAUGACAAAAGUUUCGAUUACAGCUCAUUAUCGAUCUCAGUAUAAGUCUGUGGGAAACCAGAAUUCUUGGGUUCAUGUUCUCCCAGAAUUACUUGUUUAAUGUCCUCCAGUCAGAGGUAGGUGCAAGUGGAAGGGGUACAUGAAGAGGGAGAGAGAUAAAUGAGAAAUUACAAACGUCUGUAUCCUGCAAGUCAUUUCAUCUGCUUUGUUGUGUGGGCCUGGCCAUAAAGCUCGGUAUGACAGGGGCUUCACAAAACUGAGAUUAAAGGGAAAAAAAAAAAGAAGUGGAGAACAUACACAUAGAAAUACAAGAUCCAUUAGGACAGACAGCUGAAGAUGAGAAGGAAACUGAAGGCACUUGGAAUGGGAAGGUACUGAGAGGUUUUCACAGUGGGAAAGAGAUUAUGGCAAUGGUAUCCUCUUCUGAAUUCUUCUUCUCUGAAGAGAGCCCUGCUGCUGCUAGGAGCAGGCU